RNAcentral lists this ribosomal RNA (253 nucleotides) under uncultured bacterium. RNAcentral's name for it is "partial 16S ribosomal RNA". It matches the Rfam family "Bacterial small subunit ribosomal RNA", at positions 524 to 776 of the family's 1533-position model. The record is from RNAcentral.
UACGGGGGGGGCAAGCGUUGUUCGGAAUUACUGGGCGUAAAGGGCUCGUAGGCGGCCAACUAAGUCAUACGUGAAAUCCCUCGGCUUAACCGGGGAACUGCGUCUGAUACUGGAUGGCUUGAGUUCGGGAGAGGGAUGCGGAAUUCCAGGUGUAGCGGUGAAAUGCGUAGAUAUCUGGAGGAACACCGGUGGCGAAGGCGGCAUCCGGGACCGAUACUGACGCUGAGGAGCGAAAGCCAGGGGAGCAAACGGG